AGAGACAUGAGUAGAAAGAAAGAACUACACCUGAAGAUUGGAGUUUAAUUCCUGGAAAAUAUUAAGCAACUACACGAACAAAAUUGAUAUCAAUACUAGAACAGAACUUGAACCAAACAAUAAGCUCGGACGGAAUCUAUGCCUAAUCUCGAACCUCAGCCCCAACUCAGAACAAAAUGAAAUUUCUGAAUUAAAAAGGUGAGACGAACAGAGUUGCUAACAUCAAAUGAAAAAAAAUUUGUAUCUUUAUUUGUCACUGGAAUUCAACAAAGAAAAGGCAUAUGAAUUAAAAGAGAAUCAGAG
Molecule: long non-coding RNA, 303 nt
Filed under: Nicotiana benthamiana
Lineage: Eukaryota; Viridiplantae; Streptophyta; Magnoliopsida; Solanales; Solanaceae
Description: long non-coding RNA (NBEN_LNC018000)
Source: RNAcentral